GACGUAAGGUGCAAGCGUUGUUCGGAAUUAUUGGGCGUAAAGGGCAUGUAGGCGGAAAAUCAAGCUUGGUGUGAAAUCCCGGGGCUCAACUCCGGAACUGCAUUGAGAACUGGUUAACUAGAGUCACUGAGGGGCAGCCAGAAUUCCAGGUGUAGGGGUGAAAUCUGUAGAUAUCUGGAAGAAUACCAAUGGCGAAGGCAGGCUGCCAGCAGAUGACUGACGCUGAGGUGCGAAGGUGCGGGGAGCAAACAGG
This 253-nucleotide ribosomal RNA is filed under the name uncultured Treponema sp. RNAcentral's name for it is "partial 16S ribosomal RNA". It matches the Rfam family "Bacterial small subunit ribosomal RNA", at positions 524 to 776 of the family's 1533-position model. The record is from RNAcentral. Lineage: Bacteria; Pseudomonadati; Spirochaetota; Spirochaetia; Treponematales; Treponemataceae.